AGUGAACGCUGGCGGUAGGCCUAACACAUGCAAGUCGAACGGCAGCACAGUAAGAGCUUGCUCUUACGGGUGGCGAGUGGCGGACGGGUGAGGAAUACAUCGGAAUCUACUUUUUCGUGGGGGAUAACGUAGGGAAACUUACGCUAAUACCGCAUACGACCUACGGGUGAAAGCAGGGGAUCUUCGGACCUUGCGCGAUUGAAUGAGCCGAUGUCGGAUUAGCUAGUUGGCGGGGUAAAGGCCCACCAAGGCGAGGAUCCGUAGCUGGUCUGGGAGGAUGGUCGGCCACCCUGGAGCUGAGACACGGUCCAGACGCCUACGGGAGGCCGCAGUGGGGAAUAUUGGACAAUGGGCGCGAGCCUGAUCCAGCCAUACCGCGUGGGUGAAGACGGCCUUCGGGUUGUAAAGCCCUUUUGUUGGGAAAGAACAGCAGCAGGUUAAUACCCAGCUGUUCUGACGGUACCCAAAGAAUAAGCACCGGCUAACUUCGUG
RNAcentral lists this ribosomal RNA (492 nucleotides) under uncultured bacterium. RNAcentral describes it as "partial 16S ribosomal RNA". It matches the Rfam family "Bacterial small subunit ribosomal RNA", at positions 29 to 507 of the family's 1533-position model. The record is from RNAcentral.